GGCAGGCUUAACACAUGCAAGUCGAGCGGGGGAAGGUAGCUUGCUACCGGACCUAGCGGCGGACGGGUGAGUAAUGCUUAGGAAUCUGCCUAUUAGUGGGGGACAACAUCUCGAAAGGGAUGCUAAUACCGCAUACGUCCUACGGGAGAAAGCAGGGGAUCUUCGGACCUUGCGCUAAUAGAUGAGCCUAAGUCGGAUUAGCUAGUUGGUGGGGUAAAGGCCUACCAAGGCGACGAUCUGUAGCGGGUCUGAGAGGAUGAUCCGCCACACUGGGACUGAGACACGGCCCAGACUCCCACGGGAGGCAGCAGUGGGGAAUAUUGGACAAUGGGGGGAACCCUGAUCCAGCCAUGCCGCGUG
RNAcentral lists this ribosomal RNA (360 nucleotides) under Acinetobacter baumannii OIFC083. RNAcentral's name for it is "bacterial SSU rRNA". It matches the Rfam family "Bacterial small subunit ribosomal RNA", at positions 41 to 403 of the family's 1533-position model. Lineage: Bacteria; Pseudomonadati; Pseudomonadota; Gammaproteobacteria; Moraxellales; Moraxellaceae. The record is from RNAcentral.